This 74-nucleotide transfer RNA is filed under the name Gonocephalus cf. semperi PLW-2015. RNAcentral describes it as "tRNA-Trp". Lineage: Eukaryota; Metazoa; Chordata; Lepidosauria; Squamata; Agamidae. The record is from RNAcentral.
GAACUUAGGUUAACAUCAAACCACAAACCUUCAAAGUUUAAAAUAAGGAACACCCCUUAGCUCCUGAAAGCCUG